GGGUUGUGAGGUUAAGCGACUAAGCGUACACGGUGGAUGCCCUGGCAGUCAGAGGCGAUGAAGGGCGUGCUAAUCUGCGAUAAGCGCCGGUAAGGUGAUAUGAACCGUUAUAACCGGCGAUACCCGAAUGGGGAAACCCAGUGUGACUCGUCACACUAUCAUUAACUGAAUCCAUAGGUUAAUGAGGCGAACCGGGGGAACUGAAACAUCUAAGUACUCCGAGGAAAAGAAAUCAACCGAGAUUCCCCCAGUAGCGGCGAGCGAACGGGGAGGAGCCCAGAGCCUGAAUCAGCAUGUGUGUUAGUGGAAGCGUCUGGAAAGGCGCGCGAUACAGGGUGACAGCCCCGUACACAAAAGCGCAUGUGCUGUGAGCUCGAUGAGUAGGGCGGGACACGUGGUAUCCUGUCUGAAUAUGGGGGGACCAUCCUCCAAGGCUAAAUACUCCUGACUGACCGAUAGUGAACCAGUACCGUGAGGGAAAGGCGAAAAGAACCCCGGCGAGGGGAGUGAAAAAGAACCUGAAACCGUGUACGUACAAGCAGUGGGAGCACAGGUUUACCUGUGUGACUGCGUACCUUUUGUAUAAUGGGUCAGCGACUUAUAUUCUGUAGCAAGGUUAACCGUAUAGGGGAGCCGUAGGGAAACCGAGUCUUAAU
Molecule: ribosomal RNA, 656 nt
Filed under: Salmonella enterica subsp. enterica serovar Potsdam
Lineage: Bacteria; Pseudomonadati; Pseudomonadota; Gammaproteobacteria; Enterobacterales; Enterobacteriaceae
Description: partial 23S ribosomal RNA
Rfam family: Bacterial large subunit ribosomal RNA
Source: RNAcentral